RNAcentral lists this long non-coding RNA (1630 nucleotides) under Homo sapiens (human). Its description in RNAcentral is "HSALNT0203356". Lineage: Eukaryota; Metazoa; Chordata; Mammalia; Primates; Hominidae. The record is from RNAcentral.
AGUCAUAAAACACACAGAGUCAGAUUAGCUAUUAAUUUCUAGAUCUUGGUAAGGAUACCGGAUUUUAUUCUGAGACAGAAUUGUUGAUAAGAUUUGAGUGGAGAUACACUGGAUUCCAUAUGCAAAAGUGAGACUGUAGAAAGGCAAGAAUGCUUGUGAAGAGGGCAGAUAAAAAGAUAUAAUCCAGAGGAGAGAUGCUUCCUGGAACUAAAAGUGAUUGCAGAGAAAGACAUCUCCCUGAUACUACAACACCUUCAGCCUAGAGAAACUUCACAGAAGCAAGAUAAGACUCCACAGAAGAAGCUUUGUGUACUUCUUGGCCAUCACACUACCAUAAAGUAGAGGAGAAAUCAGUUUCUGUCCUACUCUCCCACCUCACUUGCCAAAUAUCUUAAGAGUGAAUUUAUCCAAACCUAAUUUUUUGAUUAUCUUAAUUACUCCCAGAAGAUCAAGCUCUCAAUCAUUUUUGUCCAGAGUCUCAUUACUCUGCUGUUUCAUAUUGUUUAAUCUGACCCAGUUUCCCAACUUCCUUUGCCCUACACUACAUUCUAGAAUUAAUGGUUUAUUUUCUAACAAUAAAAUGUUUUUAUUUUUAAAUUCUUAUAUCCUUCAUGAUUCCUCUGUGUGUUUCUAGUGGAGACUCAAGAUCUGAUGAUUUAUUUAUCCUGUAACACUCUCAACUGGAGAAUAUUUUUUUUCUCUCUUUGAAUCAUAUACUCCAGAGCUUGCAGGUGAGAUUUAAGAUGCAGCCAAAAUAUAUAAUUUUGCCAGUAGAAGAAAGCUGUACCAGGAAACAAGUGGCUACCUCUACACAGAACUAGUUCUUCUCUGGCACCAUCCAAUUCUAGAUAUUAAGCCUGAGUGACCUGUGCAUAUGCUACACCAGGGGUCCUCAACCUAGGGACAACAGACACAUACCAGUCCUUGGCCUGUCAGGAACUGGGCCGCACAGCAGGAGGCGAGGGCGGGCAAGCGAGUAUUACUGCCUGAGCUCCAGCUCUUGUCAGACCUUCGUCGCAUUAGAUUCUCAUAGGUGCGUCAACCCUAUGUGAACUGGACAUGUGAGGGAUCUAGGUUGCGCACCCCUUAUGAUAAUCUAACUAAUGCCUGGUGAUCUUGUUACCGAUGGAGGGUGUCCAGGUUCUCGGCAUCUUGAACAAAGAACUGGACAAAAUGCACAAAGAAAGAAAGGAAAUAAUGAAGCAACAAAAAUAGAUAUUUAUUGAAAAUGAAAGUAUAUUCCACAGGGUGGGAGUGGGCCCGAGUAUAUGGGCUCAAGAUCCCCUUUACCAUAUUUGUGGGGGUUUAAAUACCCUCUAGAGGUUUCCAUUAGUUAAUUGGUGUACGCCCUCUGGAGAGGACAUUUCCUGUGAUAGCUGACGUGUGAGUUGGCCUUCUGUUUCUUGCCUCCAGACCCUGUUUUCCUGCCUCAGUCUGAGGAGGAAGUUUCAUUCCAAAACAUUGCCCCCAGACUCGUGAAAAAAUUGUCUUCCAGGAAGCCUGUCCAUGAUGCCAAAAUGGUUGGGGACCGUUGUUGUACACCAUCCUCGAUGAUAAGGACCCUCUUAGCACCUCUGGUUUUCUUUCAUCCCAGCGGGCUAAUUGUCUUUUAAAUAUCCAAAGAAAAUAG